GACAGAGGGUGCAAACGUUGUUCGGAAUUACUGGGCGUAAAGCGCGUGUAGGCGGCUAAGUAAGUCGGGCGUGAAAUCCCACGGCUCAACCAUGGAAGUGCACUCGAAACUGCAUAGCUAGAGUCCUGGAGAGGAAGGUGGAAUGCUUGGUGUAGAGGUGAAAUUCGUAGAUAUCAAGCGGAACACCGGUGGCGAAGGCGGCCUUCUGGACAGUGACUGACGCUGAGACGCGAAAGCGUGGGGAGCAAACAGG
This 253-nucleotide ribosomal RNA is filed under the name uncultured bacterium. Its description in RNAcentral is "partial 16S ribosomal RNA". It matches the Rfam family "Bacterial small subunit ribosomal RNA", at positions 524 to 776 of the family's 1533-position model. The record is from RNAcentral.